Molecule: ribosomal RNA, 497 nt
Filed under: uncultured bacterium
Lineage: Bacteria
Description: partial 16S ribosomal RNA
Rfam family: Bacterial small subunit ribosomal RNA
Source: RNAcentral
GAUGAACGCUGGCGGCGUGCCUAAUACAUGCCAGUCGAGCGAACAGACGAGGAGCUUGCUCCUCUGACGUUAGCGGCGGACGGGUGAGUAACACGUGGAUAACCUACCUAUAAGACUGGGAUAACUUCGGGAAACCGGAGCUAAUACCGGAUAAUAUAUUGAACCGCAUGGUUCAAUAGUGAAAGACGGUUUUGCUGUCACUUAUAGAUGGAUCCGCGCCGCAUUAGCUAGUUGGUAAGGUAACGGCUUACCAAGGCGACGAUGCGUAGCCGACCUGAGAGGGUGAUCGGCCACACUGGAACUGAGACACGGUCCAGACUCCUACGGGAGGCAGCAGUAGGGAAUCUUCCGCAAUGGGCGAAAGCCUGACGGAGCAACGCCGCGUGAGUGAUGAAGGCCUUCGGAUCGUAAAACUCUGUUAUUAGGGAAGAACAAAUGUGUAAGUAACUAUGCACGUCUUGACGGUACCUAAUCAGAAAGCCACGGCUAACUACGUG